CUACUGCUGAGUCCAACAAUAGGACGAAACGGCCGUCCAGUGC
RNAcentral lists this non-coding RNA (43 nucleotides) under Schistosoma margrebowiei. The record is from RNAcentral. Lineage: Eukaryota; Metazoa; Platyhelminthes; Trematoda; Strigeidida; Schistosomatidae.